UUGGAGGGCAAGUCUGGUGCCAGCAGCCGCGGUAAUUCCAGCUCCAAUAGCGUAUAUUAAAGUUGUUGCAGUUAAAAAGCUCGUAGUUGAAUUUCGGGAUCAGUACGCUGGUCAUGCCUUCGGUAUGUACUGGUGUUACUGGUUCCUACCUUCUGACGAACCGUCAUGUCAUUAAUUUGGUGUGGCGGGGAAUCAGGACUGUUACUUUGAAAAAAUUAGAGUGUUUAAAGCAGGC
This 235-nucleotide ribosomal RNA is filed under the name uncultured Glomus. RNAcentral describes it as "partial 18S ribosomal RNA". It matches the Rfam family "Eukaryotic small subunit ribosomal RNA", at positions 548 to 785 of the family's 1831-position model. Lineage: Eukaryota; Fungi; Glomeromycota; Glomeromycetes; Glomerales; Glomeraceae. The record is from RNAcentral.